Molecule: long non-coding RNA, 886 nt
Organism: Scylla paramamosain (green mud crab)
Lineage: Eukaryota; Metazoa; Arthropoda; Malacostraca; Decapoda; Portunidae
Exons: 3
Source: RefSeq, a predicted model, not a curated record
AUGCCCAGGCUGACGGAGUGAAGAGGCACGAAGAAUUGUCAUUCGCUUGAAAUUUGCUGAUGCUUUAGCACUUCAUGUCCCUAUACAUGUAUCCUCUCCACCAGCAAGAGCUGGGAAGAAGGGGUAGAGAGAGUGUAUGGUGUGCAAAGAGACUUCAAGGAGAGAGAAGAAAUGUAAGCAAGUCACAACCAUGUGCAAGGAGUGCAAUGUGGGGGCUGUGCCUUGGUGAUUGUUUCCAAAACUACCACACCCUGCUGUCAUAUUAGAUGGUGUUAUGAGCUGAGGUUAGUGGAGCACCCUGCCUCAGCAGUGAUAUUUACCCCCUAGCCUUGUGGACACUAUUAGGAAAAUAUCACAGUGGCUAUAGAACAGAAAUGUAAAUAUUGUAAAUAUAAUUAUGACAUAAGAUUCAUGUGAAAGUAGAUGAGGCCUGAACAAGUUACAAAUAGACUUAUAAGCGUAUAUGUAUAUAAGGCGUGAUAAGAAUAGUUUAUAUAUGAAAAAUUAGAAAUUACUAAAUGAUUAGAAAUACAAUAAAUCAAGAUUGGAUAAAUGGAAUGAAAACUUGCACUCUAUGUCACAGCAGAAGAUUGAUCAACGCUUUCUACUUUUGCCAGGGACAGGCACCAAAAGAAGUCACUCCCAGUGAUCCUGGUAUACAUAAGUUACUAGUGUCAACAACCAUGAUGAGGGCACAAGUCGACGAGUUCUUCCUUGUGUUUACCACAUAAUGUGCAAGCAUUUCCUCAUACUAGUGGUGGCGUGUGCUGCUGUCCUCUACUCUUCCCUGGAGCCAUCGCUAUACCUGACGUGUCUCUUAUGUAUCACUCUGAAUUGCUGUAAUAAAUCAAAUUACAUUCUUAUCAUUGAUGACAUACUAUCAGAC